UACGUAGGUGGCAAGCGUUGUCCGGAUUUACUGGGCGUAAAGAGCGCGCAGGCGGUCGUCCAAGUCGCGUGUGAAAGCCCCCGGCUCAACUGGGGAGGGUCACGCGAUACUGGUCGACUCGAAGGCAGGAGAGGGUAGUGGAAUUCCCGGUGUAGUGGUGAAAUGCGUAGAUAUCGGGAGGAACACCAGUGGCGAAGGCGACUACCUGGCCUGUUCUGACGCUGAGGAGCGAAAGCGUGGGGAGCGAACAGG
RNAcentral lists this ribosomal RNA (252 nucleotides) under uncultured bacterium. Its description in RNAcentral is "partial 16S ribosomal RNA". It matches the Rfam family "Bacterial small subunit ribosomal RNA", at positions 524 to 776 of the family's 1533-position model. The record is from RNAcentral.